Molecule: ribosomal RNA, 434 nt
Filed under: uncultured Lachnospiraceae bacterium
Lineage: Bacteria; Bacillati; Bacillota; Clostridia; Lachnospirales; Lachnospiraceae
Description: bacterial SSU rRNA
Rfam family: Bacterial small subunit ribosomal RNA
Source: RNAcentral
ACGGAAGGCAGCAGUGGGGGAUAUUGCACAAUGGGGGAAACCCUGAUGCAGCGACGCCGCGUGAGCGAUGAAGUAUUUCGGUAUGUAAAGCUCUAUCAGCAGGAAAGAUAAUGACGGUACCUGACUAAGAAGCACCGGCUAAAUACGUGCCAGCAGCCGCGGUAAUACGUAUGGUGCAAGCGUUAUCCGGAUUUACUGGGUGUAAAGGGAGCGUAGACGGUCUGGCAAGUCUGAUGUGAAAGGCAGGGGCUCAACUCCUGGACUGCAUUGGAAACUGUCAGUCUUGAGUGCCGGAGAGGUAAGCGGAAUUCCUAGUGUAGCGGUGAAAUGCGUAGAUAUUAGGAGGAACACCAGUGGCGAAGGCGGCUUACUGGACGGUAACUGACGUUGAGGCUCGAAAGCGUGGGGAGCAAACAGGAUUAGAUACCCUGGUA